GUCAGUUUGCCAAGCAGAAGAAAAUGUCUCCAUGCGGCAGCUGUAGAGCACAGAGCGUUUCCCAGGUCCCGCCUCCCCUGGUGUUAGGUGAACGCUGCUGGUGCAGUACCUGAAGAAGCCUAAAAAGCUACAGAAAAGCCAAGAAAUACACCCCAAGUACUGCAUUAAAAUGAAACAUCCCAAGAGACAGUAUGUCUGGGCAAAAAGGUUCUUAUGAAAACUCAGACUCUGGAAUCUGUCAAACCUACAUUGAUUUAUAUAAACUGACAUUUUUGAAAACUAUUUUUAAAGUGAUGGAGACAAGGUACUUGGAGGACGAAGCUUCCCCCUUAACUAUAAGAAAAGCUUCAGAAUGCCUUGGAAUACAAGUCACACUUCUGGAGCUACACCUUCAGAAAUGACUCAAUAUGUUAAUUUGUUGUUAUGGAAUAUAGUCUUACAGGAAAAUGUUAGCACUAAACUAUAUUGGUAAUUGUGAUGUCUUCAAUUUACCUGUACAUGUACAAAGACUAAUGUUAAUAUUUUGAUUUCUUCAAAGAUAGUUUAAUACAGAAUUGAACAAUGUUGCUAUAGCCAUUCAAAGCACUUGUACACAUAACUGUUUAAAAUACUACCUCUGGGCAAGGCAUUUUUUAGUAGCUGCUUUCAGAUUAUUAAACAAAGGCGUUAAACUACAACAUUAACUAGUAAUCAAAGCAUCGUUAUUUCUUAUUACACUCUCUGGUGACUCUGAUGAUAAGAAAUGCUAAGAAGAAUGUCUAGCAGCUGUU
Long non-coding RNA from Mauremys mutica (yellowpond turtle), 770 nucleotides. RefSeq lists it as uncharacterized. The record is from RefSeq and is a predicted model, not a curated record. Lineage: Eukaryota; Metazoa; Chordata; Testudines; Geoemydidae. The transcript has 4 exons.